Molecule: ribosomal RNA, 467 nt
Filed under: uncultured bacterium
Lineage: Bacteria
Description: partial 16S ribosomal RNA
Rfam family: Bacterial small subunit ribosomal RNA
Source: RNAcentral
GACGAACGCUGGCGGCGUGCUUAACACAUGCAAGUCGAACGGAAAGGCCCUGCUUUUGUGGGGUGCUCGAGUGGCGAACGGGUGAGUAACACGUGAGUAACCUGCCCUUGACUUUGGGAUAACUUCAGGAAACUGGGGCUAAUACCGGAUAGGAGCUCCUGCUGCAUGGUGGGGGUUGGAAAGUUUCGGCGGUUGGGGAUGGACUCGCGGCUUAUCAGCUUGUUGGUGGGGUAGUGGCUUACCAAGGCUUUGACGGGUAGCCGGCCUGAGAGGGUGACCGGCUACAGUGGGACUGAGAUACGGCCCAGAGUCCUACGGGAGGCAGCAGUGGGGAAUAUUGCACAAUGGGCGGAAGCCUGAUGCAGCAACGCCGAGUGCGGGAUGACGGCCUUCGGGUAGUAAACCGCUUUCGCCUGUGACGAAGCGUGAGUGACGGUAAUGGGUAAAGAAGCACCGGCUAACUACGU